GUCUAUGGCCAUAACACCCUGAACACGCCUGAUCUCGUCUGACCUCGGAAGCUAAGCAGAGUCAGGCCUGGUUAGUACUUGGAUGGGAGAAUCUGGACAGGCAGGUCUUGCUUGCU
RNAcentral lists this ribosomal RNA (116 nucleotides) under Heterocephalus glaber (naked mole-rat). Lineage: Eukaryota; Metazoa; Chordata; Mammalia; Rodentia; Bathyergidae. The record is from RNAcentral.